UGUCAUUUUUUCCACCAUUAUACAUGGUUUAUGAUGGUGGAGAUGUGGAAUAUGGAUAACUAAUCUUUUACAUAUGUAGGUAACUGCACUGAGAGGUGCCAUGUCAGACUGAUGAAUACGAAAGAUGGUGCCUCACCCAGAUAUCCUGGACAUUGAUCUGGAGGUGGUGACUAAAUGGGACUUAGGGUGUACCCCUUGGCAUGGGGUGAGUGUGUUCUGUGAGAGGAAGAGUGAAAUGAACAUUUGGUGUUCAGAAGGGCAACCUAUGGCAAGAGACUUUCAGUAUUCACCAUUUUUGAGUCUCUCCUUGGGCACGUAGGAAGGUUACAUCUUCCAGGUGACCCUGCAGUUAGAUGGGCCAAUGGAAUGUGAGAAGAAGCAAUGACUGUCACUUGUAGAACAAGCGUUUUAAACUUGGUGUGUCUUCUCUGUAUUUUCUCCCAUCUGAACAGCUGGAGGCAAAGGAUGCCAAGAUGGGAAAGCCACAUAAUGGAAGGAUCCUGGAUUUCAGAGCUGUCACUUGGAGGAGGGGCACCCAGUGAAGGUGUCUUAUCUAACCCACACCAUAUCUUCAUGAAGUGGCCAUAUGGAUUUGAUCCCUAUCCUUCAGAGGUGCUCAGCCUAAGGGAACACGGAUAGUAGAUUAAGCACUGACCAG
Molecule: long non-coding RNA, 658 nt
Organism: Homo sapiens (human)
Lineage: Eukaryota; Metazoa; Chordata; Mammalia; Primates; Hominidae
Gene: PROX1-AS1
Product: PROX1 antisense RNA 1
Source: Ensembl